This 667-nucleotide ribosomal RNA is filed under the name Podostemum barberi. Its description in RNAcentral is "eukaryotic LSU rRNA". The stretch from base 239 to 394 matches the Rfam family "5.8S ribosomal RNA". The record is from RNAcentral. Lineage: Eukaryota; Viridiplantae; Streptophyta; Magnoliopsida; Malpighiales; Podostemaceae.
UCCGUAGGUGAACCUGCGGAUGGAUCAUUGACAAAACCUGCCAAGGCAGAACCACUCGCGAACAUGUUAACAAAAUCAAUGCAACUGCAUGGCAUGCUGGCGUACCCUUGGGUUCCGCCGUCGCUCCCGUGCAGUUGACCGCCUUUUAGAGGGCAACCAAACCCUAGCACGAGUCGUGCCAAGGAACACGAACGCAACUAUCAAGGGGUGCUUCACCCCCUCACAUUUUAAACAAAACAACUCUUGACAACGGAUAUCUAGGCUCUUGCAUCGAUGAAGAACGUAGCGAAAUGCGAUACUUGGUGUGAAUUGCAGAAUCCCGUGAACCAUCGAGUUUUUGAACGCAAGUUGCGCCCAAAGCCUUCUGGCCGAGGGCACGUCUGCCUGGGCGUCAUAAUUCGUCACCCCUCGCCAUACCCUCGGGCAUAUGGGUUGGGUGGAUGGUGGCUUCUUACGUCCUCUAGUCGCGGCUGACCGAAAUAAGUUAGCCCUAAGGGAUUGCCUACAGCGGCCUAGGUGGACUCAAUGUCCCUCUAACUCUGUCGCGCCAAGCGUGCCAACGGUGCUACUAGCCCCCCUCGUAUUUCCCCUUGUGGGAUCUACCCCAUGGUGACGCUAGGUCAGGUGGGACUACUUGCGGAGUUUAAGCAUAUCAAUAAGCGGAGGA